GACGAACGCUGGCGGCGUGCUUAACACAUGCAAGUCGAACGGUGAAGCGCCUUCCUUUUUGGUGGGUGUGGAUGAGUGGCGAACGGGUGAGUAACACGUGAGUAACCUGCCCCCUUCUUCUGGAUAACCGCAUGAAAGUGUGGCUAAUACGGGAUAUUCUGGGUCUGUCGCAUGAUGGGUCUGGGAAAGAUAUUGUUUCGGUGGGGGAUGGGCUCGCGGCCUAUCAGCUUGUUGGUGGGGUGAUGGCCUACCAAGGCGGUGACGGGUAGCCGGCCUGAGAGGGUGGACGGUCACACGGGGAAUGAGACACGGCCCAGACUCCUACGGGAGGCAGCAGUGGGGAAUAUUGCACAAUGGGCGCAAGCCUGAUGCAGCGACGCCGCGUGAGGGAUGGAGGCCUGCGGGUUGUGAACCUCUUUCGCCAGUGAAGCAGGCCUGCCUCGUUUGUGGGUGGGUUGACGGUAGCUGGAUAAGAAGCGCCGGCUAACUACGUG
Molecule: ribosomal RNA, 494 nt
Filed under: uncultured bacterium
Lineage: Bacteria
Description: partial 16S ribosomal RNA
Rfam family: Bacterial small subunit ribosomal RNA
Source: RNAcentral